UCAAACUUUAAUUUUAUUUUUUAGAUUUUAUUUUUACUUUGAUAUUGCAGUAUUUUUUGAAUUAAAAAUGAUGAAUUGAAAAAAAAAAGAUUAAUUGUAUUAUUUGAAUAUUUUAUUAAACUCAAAUGUGUGUGGUGUAAAAACAAUUACAUUAUUAGCCCACUCAUAUCCAUAUUAAAAAUGGCACAGGCUCCAAUUAAACCCAAAUCUCUUCUCUCAUUCCCGUCGUCGUCUUCUUCACAAUUUUAGGGUUCCAAGUGAACAUUUAUAGGUAGCCAACAGAUUUACUUUGGACAAAGGAUCGUCGGCGCCAACCUACUAUUUCUUUACAGACAUCUUCCAUCUCCAGCUAAGCCAAACUGCAGCUAAGAUAAAUCUACAAAUUUUCUAAAGAUUUCUUGUCGGGUCCGAAUGAAACUUGAAGAAUCAAACCCGCAUUCCAUACUGCUAUGAUCCGUGUUGUGUCUUGUCAUAUCGUGUCGACAUGGAUACUCCUCCCGGAAUGGCGAGUCCGAGCAUCAUAGGUUUAGUGAAAUUAAAAUCAAUAAACAACAAGACAAAUAACAUCUUACCUUGGGCUUGCAAAAUUCAUAAUAGGUUCCAUUACCAGGCAAGUUAAAAGUUCUCUGGCAAUGCACCGAACCAGGGGGCAUUGUGCCUCCCUUAGU
RNAcentral lists this long non-coding RNA (668 nucleotides) under Olea europaea (common olive). RNAcentral's name for it is "long non-coding RNA (OEUR_LNC001816)". The record is from RNAcentral. Lineage: Eukaryota; Viridiplantae; Streptophyta; Magnoliopsida; Lamiales; Oleaceae.